This 384-nucleotide long non-coding RNA is filed under the name Nicotiana benthamiana. RNAcentral's name for it is "long non-coding RNA (NBEN_LNC030643)". Lineage: Eukaryota; Viridiplantae; Streptophyta; Magnoliopsida; Solanales; Solanaceae. The record is from RNAcentral.
CUUAGCUUAUUGUAUCUCUAUUUUUAUAUUUUGACAUUCCUUAUUGAAAUUGCUGGCUCCGCCGCAAAUAUAUAUAUAUUAUAUACAUGGGUGCACAGUUACAUACAUAUAUGGCUGUACAAUUACACAUAUAUAUCCAUAGAUUUUGUACAUAUACUUUGAUAAAUUAUUUUGCUAGUGUAUAGACUGCUUCUACGCUGGAUCUAUCUCUGACGGAAGUUUUAACUCAAUUGAAAAGCGAAUUUUACCGGACAAAAAUGUAAGAAAAAAAUUGAAAAUAGAUCUUUAUAAAGGGAACUACCAUGAAUGGAGACUGGAGAAUCGUACCUCAGAAGAUUUGAUGACGGAUGAAAACAGAGAGCUGAGGAGAAAAUUUUAGAAGGU